GUGUAUGGCCAUACCACCCUGAGCGUGCCUGAUCACAUCUGGUCUCGGAAGCUAAGCAAGAUUGGGCCUGGUUAGUACUUGGAUGGGAGGCCCAAGGAAUAAGGAGGUUGAGCCUC
RNAcentral lists this ribosomal RNA (116 nucleotides) under Prolemur simus (greater bamboo lemur). Lineage: Eukaryota; Metazoa; Chordata; Mammalia; Primates; Lemuridae. The record is from RNAcentral.